This 253-nucleotide ribosomal RNA is filed under the name uncultured bacterium. Its description in RNAcentral is "partial 16S ribosomal RNA". It matches the Rfam family "Bacterial small subunit ribosomal RNA", at positions 524 to 776 of the family's 1533-position model. The record is from RNAcentral.
UACGUAGGUGGCAAGCGUUGUCCGGAUUUACUGGGCGUAAAGAGCGCGCAGGCGGUCGUUCAAGUCGCGUGUGAAAGCCCCCGGCUCAACUGGGGAGGGUCACGCGAUACUGAUCGACUCGAAGGCAGGAGAGGGUAGUGGAAUUCCCGGUGUAGUGGUGAAAUGCGUAGAUAUCGGGAGGAACACCGGUGGCGAAGGCGGCGACCUGGGUUGACACUGACGCUGAGGCGCGAAAGCGUGGGGAGCAAACAGG